Molecule: small nucleolar RNA, 126 nt
Filed under: Castor canadensis (American beaver)
Lineage: Eukaryota; Metazoa; Chordata; Mammalia; Rodentia; Castoridae
Description: Small nucleolar RNA SNORA31 (ENSCCNG00000003029.1)
Rfam family: Small nucleolar RNA SNORA31
About the family: ACA31 (SNORA31) belongs to the H/ACA class of snoRNAs which are thought to guide the sites of modification of uridines to pseudouridines.
Source: Rfam by way of RNAcentral
CUGCAGUCACUGAUAGACCUUGGAAAGUGGCUGUUUUGUUGGUUUGCACUAGGAAGCAAAAGAAAAUAAUCCCUGCGCUUUCUGUCUGUCUUUAUGGCAGCCCAGAUUAAACUGGGAAAUACAACA